RNAcentral lists this ribosomal RNA (785 nucleotides) under uncultured bacterium. RNAcentral's name for it is "bacterial SSU rRNA". It matches the Rfam family "Bacterial small subunit ribosomal RNA", at positions 687 to 1467 of the family's 1533-position model. The record is from RNAcentral.
UGCGUUGAUAUCAGGAGGAAUACCAAUGGCGAAGGCAGGUUGCUGGGCUUUAUCUGACGCUGAGGCGCGAAAGCGUGGGUAGCAAACAGGAUUAGAUACCCUGGUAGUCCACGCCCUAAACGAUGGAUACUAGACGUAAGAGGUAUCGACCCCUCUUGUGUCGCAGCUAACGCAUUAAGUAUCCCGCCUGGGGACUACGGCCGCAAGGUUGAAACUCAAAUGAAUUGACGGGGACCCGCACAAGCGGUGGAGCAUGUGGUUUAAUUCGAUACUAACCGAAGAACCUUACCCAGGUUUGACAUCGAUCGCAAGAUCCCGAAAAGGAUCCCUCCCCCACAAGGGGACGUGAAGACAGAUGUUGCAUGGCUGUCGUCAGCUCGUGCCGUGAGGUGUACGGUUAAGUCCGCCAACGAGCGCAACCCACGUCCUGUGUUACCAGCGAGUAAAGUCGGGCACUCACAGGAGACCGCCGGUGUAAGCCGGAGGAAGGUGUGGAUGAUGUCAAGUCAGCAUGGCUCUUACGCCUGGGGCUACACACAUGCUACAAUGGGAGCAACAAAGGGCAGCAAUACCGCGAGGUGGAGCGAAUCCCAAAAAUACUCCCCCAGUUCAGAUUGCACUCUGCAACUCGAGUGCAUAAAGUCGGAAUCGCUAGUAAACGCAGGUCAGAUAUACUGCGUUGAAUACGUUCCCGGGUCUUGUACACACCGCCCGUCAAGACACCUGAAUCGUCUUCACCCGAAGUACGUGGCCUAACCGCAAGGAGGGAGCGUCCGAAGGUGAGG